CCGGAAAGCAUUAGAGAUAGUGCCCCCCUUGCUGGUCGGUGUACAGGUGGUGCAUGGCUGUCGUCAGCUCGUGUCGUGAGAUGUUGGGUUAAGUCCCGCAACGAGCGCAACCCUUGUCCUGUGUUGCCAGCAUGCCCUUCGGGGUGAUGGGGACUCACAGGAGACCGCCGGGGUCAACUCGGAGGAAGGUGGGGACGACGUCAAGUCAUCAUGCCCCUUAUGUCUUGGGCUGCACACGUGCUACAAUGGCCGGUACAAUGAGCUGCGAUACCGUGAGGUGGAGCGAAUCUCAAAAAGCCGGUCUCAGUUCGGAUUGGGGUCUGCAACUCGACCCCAUGAAGUCGGAGUUGCUAGUAAUCGCAGAUCAGCAUUGCUGCGGUGAAUACGUUCCCGGGCCUUGUACACACCG
RNAcentral lists this ribosomal RNA (409 nucleotides) under uncultured bacterium. Its description in RNAcentral is "bacterial SSU rRNA". It matches the Rfam family "Bacterial small subunit ribosomal RNA", at positions 990 to 1392 of the family's 1533-position model. The record is from RNAcentral.